UACGGAGGGUGCAAGCGUUAAUCGGAAUUACUGGGCGUAAAGAGCGCGCAGGCGGCUGGCCAAGUCCGAUGUGAAAGCUUCCGGCUUAACUGGAAAAUUGCAUCGGAAACUGGUCGGCUUGAAGGUGGGAGAGGGUAGCGGAAUUCCCGGUGUAGCGGUGAAAUGCGUAGAUAUCUGGAGGAAUACCGGUGGCGAAGGCGGCAUCCUGGACCGACAUUGACGCUGAGGAGCGAAAGCUAGGGGAGCAAACGGG
RNAcentral lists this ribosomal RNA (253 nucleotides) under uncultured bacterium. RNAcentral's name for it is "partial 16S ribosomal RNA". It matches the Rfam family "Bacterial small subunit ribosomal RNA", at positions 524 to 776 of the family's 1533-position model. The record is from RNAcentral.